AAAGAUUCUGAAUUCCAGUGUUCCAAUGGGACCUGUAAUAAGAAAUCCUGAUGGGUGUGGGAAGGAAUAACUGUCUUUUGACCAUCACUAUUUCUAAUAAGUCUUGCAAAAUACGAACCUCCCUCAUCCCUAUCACGGAUGGAUAGUAUAGAGCUCAUUACAUACAGGUUUCUAAUUAGGAGUAAUUUAAAGUGGCAAUAUUUCAUGUCGUAAUUCAGGAAUUAGCUGUAUGAGUAAACUUAGCUCAUACCCUGUUAAUUUGGCAGGCACAUAUGGGCUGAUGAAGAAGCCAUCACUCCUGAUAUGGGAAGAAGAGGAACCAGACAUAUGCAGGCUACCUGAGAGAAAAACCCCUCGUAAAUGGAAGAUGGUUUUCAGGGUUCCAGCCCUCUGCAUCACAGCCCUCUUUUGCCCACUGAACUGUGCCCUGACUUUCCUGAAGAAGAGAGUUCUGCAGCCCUUUAAGCUCCUGAAGUCCAAAAACUGAGGAAAGGAAUCCCAUGGAGCAACACGUUAAUAUUCUAAGGUCACAAAAAGAAGAUGCUACAGGAAGGAGCACAGCUGGGAUCAAAAAUGAGGGAGAACAUGAAUAGUGACUUCAGUCACAAGACAAUGAAAAACUGCAGAUGAAGACAGAAAGCAACUUCUGAACUGUGAGACAGGUCUCUAACUCACUUUGAAGUCUAAUGUGUAAGCAAGAGGACACUGAUGUUUGGGGUUAUAUGUUACAUACUGGGAUGUACAUAAUGUACAUACUGGGAUACACACACACACACAGAAAGAAGAAAAAAAUGAAGGAAUAAUUUCUCUGAGAAGAAAAAAGCAAGGGCUUAGCUUUCUUAAUCUGAAGCCACAACUCAGAACUACCUGACUGAUGAUAAGAGAUGCCAUCCACCCAGGAGCUGGAUCCAGAGAGAAAAAGGAAAACUUUCAGAACAGCUUCUAUAAGGUAUUAAAUCAGCUUGAUAUCCAGCCAGAUUGGAAACAAAUGUUUUAAUUCCAGAAUGUCAUAGCACUGGGAGAGAAACAUGCUGAAGAAGAAAAUUUCUGAAUGAACACCUUGUUUUUAGUUUUAGUUUAUAUAUCUAUAUUUUUUAGUUUAUAUAUUAUUUUAGUUUAUAUAUUAGACAAGCAACUUGUUAUACUAAUAACACCAAUACCACUUCUGCAGAAUAUUCCAAGAAAGGUGUCCUUUAGACAGAACCCAGUUUGAACCAGGGCUCUCAACUCAGUGUGUCAUUCCAUUCUGUGCAUGCUACCUUGUGCAAUUUCAGCUGAUAGACAUCAUUUUCUCUCCCAAACUAACACAGAGGACUUGUGUGGGCCACCACCUGCCUACUGCUUUUCCCCCUCAAAGUGAUCUUUACUCAAAGGCCAACAUCUACCUGUGCACAGCAGUCUCCGCUGUCUGAACAUAGAGACAUUGUAUGAACAAAGCUCCCAAAGACUCCACUGGAAAUUUUGCUUGCCCAAGGAAGUGAGGAUGGUCCAUGUUUGUUUAUAAAGUUUCCCAGUCCACUGAGAUGCAGAGAGCUACUGCAUACAGGCAUGGAAUUGUGACUGAGAGGAAAUACCAUCAAGAGAUAAGCUAUAAUAUAACUGCACUUAAAAGUGUGUUUAGAACAAAUUUGCUAUAUCCAACUAACACUGAAUUUACAGACUGAGAUUCCUGAAGCUGAUUAAGGGAUCUGAGUGCCUGGUUGCUUUUAAUUUGAGUGGUAAUGAGAGAUUUGAAUUCCUUUAACCAAACAGAAUGUUUUAGCACUAAUGCAUGUAUUAAUUGUGAAUCUAUGACUGAUGCUCCUUCUUCCUUGAUGUUUGUAUUCCUACCAAAAAAAAAAAAAAAACAACCAACACUAAGACAGCAUUCCCAGGUUGAAUACUUGUCAACAUUGGCAUUCUCUCACUAGCACUCUCUCUCCAUUUUUUUCAGGCCCUUUUCUCAAGCUGUUCCUUCUUGAGCAGAGGUUAGCCACACAGCUAGCUCCAAUGAAGGCAGAGCCCAGCAUGCAAGUGCUACUCACCU
Meleagris gallopavo (turkey) is the source of this 2026-nucleotide non-coding RNA. The record is from RefSeq and is a predicted model, not a curated record. NCBI's taxonomy places the organism in Eukaryota, Metazoa, Chordata, Aves, Galliformes, Phasianidae.